UUCUCUACGGGAGGGCGCCGCUAUUUAUGUAGGCACGCUAAAUUUUUAUUUUAUUUUUUGGUCAAAUUUAGGAAGGAGAAUGGAGGGGGGAAACUCAAACACCUGAUGUUCCUUCAAGAAUACAAAGGCUGCAGAACAGAGAAAGAAAGAGGCUUCAAGCAUCUUGCUAUGAGUACAAAAAAGAUAAGCUACCAAAAAAGGAGGCAAAAAAGGAUGAUGAAGAAAUACCAUAAUUCAAGCUUAUCUCUUCAGAGGAGCCAUCAACACAAGAGGAUCCUCAAAAUCAGAUGGAGUCAACACAAGAGGCAUCUCAGCCCGAUGCCACAAAUCCAUUUCAUGAUCCCCCGAAAGGAACAAAUCUUCAUGAUUCGAUACCUGUAGGUAUGCAAAAAUCAGAUGAUGAAAAUGAAAGGCCAAAAAAGACACAAAAAAAAGCCAAAAAAGAAAAAAUGGGGUUAAAGGAAGGUUUGGCAGAAAAUUCCAAAAGAAGACAGGUACAAAAUUGAAGAAUACUGCUUAAGUACUCAAACUCGUGAUAACUUUUGGGCAAGACUCCAUGAUGAGAAAGUGACAAAUCAUGAUAUUAAAGAUAUUGUAUGGGACCUGGAACUGUCACAAAACGUUAUUGAGGCCUAUAUACAAAUAAAGGAGGAGAAAAUAGGGCCCAUGCAGACAGAUAGUCCACAGUACAUGUCUACAUGGACUUAGGU
This is a long non-coding RNA of Prunus avium (sweet cherry), 710 nucleotides long. RefSeq lists it as uncharacterized. The record is from RefSeq and is a predicted model, not a curated record. Lineage: Eukaryota; Viridiplantae; Streptophyta; Magnoliopsida; Rosales; Rosaceae.